This 202-nucleotide ribosomal RNA is filed under the name Hoeflea sp. RNAcentral describes it as "partial 23S ribosomal RNA". It matches the Rfam family "Bacterial large subunit ribosomal RNA", at positions 2719 to 2925 of the family's 2925-position model. Lineage: Bacteria; Pseudomonadati; Pseudomonadota; Alphaproteobacteria; Hyphomicrobiales; Rhizobiaceae. The record is from RNAcentral.
UGUUGUCCUGCCAAGGGCAUAGCAGAGUAGCUAUAUACGGAAUGGAUAACCGCUGAAGGCAUCUAAGCGGGAAACCAACCUGAAAACGAGUAUUCCCUGAGAGUCGUGGAAGACUACCACGUUGAUAGGCUGGGUGUGGAAGCGCGGUGACGUGUGAAGCUUACCAGUACUAAUAGCUCGAUCGGCUUGAAUCGUUCUCAUU